CAGAAAAACACCAACUUGUCGUCUUUUUUUCAAUCCCUCCCAUGGCUAGAAGCUUCUUAUUCGAACCUCCUAGCGACGAGGAGCCUGAAUUAUCCCAUCCUGAAGAAGAGGAAGAAGAAGACGACGACGAAGACGAACAAGAAGAAGGGGAAGAAGAAGAAGAAGAAGCAGCAGCAAAGAAGAAACCUUCUAAUAGGCAUACUCAAUCACCAUGGGAUUUCGCUUCUUACUCCGAGUCCGUUGCGGAAGAACACGCUCGUCGAAGCACCACCUCCGUGGAUUACAAGAUUUCCAGAGCCCUUCAACAUCGCUCCGUUCCUAUCACCACUCCCGCCGCCGACGCAGAAGCCGCCUCAGAUUCGGAACCAGACAAACAGGAAGAUUAUAGAUCAGAAGAGGAUGAUGAUGGGGAAAGUAAUGCCGAUGGAAGGAAGUCAUUUUUUGCACCUGCAGAAGGAGCUUCCUUCCAUGCGAAUUCUUUCAUGGAGCUCAAUCUAUCUCGCCCAUUGCUUCGGGCUUGUGAGGCUUUAGGUUACACUAAGCCUACUCCAAUUCAGGCUGCUUGUAUACCACUGGCACUCACUGGCCGUGAUAUUUGUGGGAGUGCGAUUACUGGUUCUGGGAAGACAGCUGCCUUUGCAUUACCUACUUUGGAGAGAUUACUUUUUCGUCCAAAACGUGUUCAAGCAAUACGGGUCCUCAUUCUCACACCAACAAGAGAGUUGGCGGUUCAGGUUCACAAUAUGAUAGAGAAACUUUCUCAGUUUACAGAUAUUAGAUGUUGCUUGAUUGUUGGUGGGCUUUCUACAAAGGUGCAAGAAUCUGCCUUGAGAUCAAUGCCAGAUAUUGUUGUGGCUACCCCAGG
RNAcentral lists this unclassified non-coding RNA (865 nucleotides) under Hevea brasiliensis (rubber tree). The record is from RNAcentral. Lineage: Eukaryota; Viridiplantae; Streptophyta; Magnoliopsida; Malpighiales; Euphorbiaceae.